RNAcentral lists this long non-coding RNA (1413 nucleotides) under Homo sapiens (human). RNAcentral describes it as "epigenetically induced MYC interacting lncRNA 1". Lineage: Eukaryota; Metazoa; Chordata; Mammalia; Primates; Hominidae. The record is from RNAcentral.
ACAGACACCCCGGAAGUCACGUACCCACUCUGUAGGUGCCCCGGGGCACAGGCAAGCGGACGAGCCAGUUAUCCCUCAGAGCUCCUGCUGCCUCGCCCGCUUUCUCUCGGAAACGUGAAGUGUGGCCUCAGCUGAAAGUGAGGUGAGCGUGAGUGUGGACAUGUGUCAGUGUGCGUGUGCAUGGGAGGAGUGUGUGUGCGCUUGAUGACGAUGAUGGAGCCCAGUGAGCCACCGUCCGUGGAGUGUCAGAGCCUCCUAGGAUGGCCACGCCGAAGGUGCGGAAGGAGGCGGCUGGCCCAGCGUCAGACGUUUCCAGCAUCCGCGGGAGUGAAACGGAGGCUGGUGGGCCUCAUUCAAUCAGUUGAAUUCUUCAAGAGAGAAAAACUGAAGUCCCUUAGAAGGAAAGAGUUCUGCCUUCAGACUGUCUUUGAACUUAAGACUGUAGCGUCGACUCCUGCCGGAAUUUCCAGCCUGCUGGCCAGCUCUGCAGAUUCACACUUGCCAGCCUCCACAAUCGCAGCUGAGGCGGAGGAACCCUAAGGGCUCAUUGAGAUCAUGGAUUUGCCCUUCUAUGCAUUGAUGGAGCACCUGCUGCCCACAGCGUCUGUAUUUGGUGCUGGGAUGCUGAGGACACUGAGAUCUUCAAACAGAGGCUGCCACUCUAAGCAAACAGAUCCCGAGCCCUGGACUCUGAAGCUUGGGCCCAGUUCUCCUUUUCUCCGGGUUUCAGAUCCCACUGUGAAGUGAGGGGGCCCUUCUGAUUCAGGACCCGGGGAAGCCAGGGGCAUGAGCAUCGGUGCCUCUUCUCUAUUUCAAGGACCCUUCUGGGUGUAAAGUUCUCUGAGAUGCCUUACAUGGAUUCCCACCACUGCAAGAUAACCAUCGUAUGAGGCUUCAGGCUUGACCAAAUCUGACUGGCUGGCUGCCGGAGACACUGCUACCCAUCGGCCCUUAAUAAAUGGCCUCAUUUGAUCAUCAUGUGAUCUUCAGAAGCUGGGCUUGAUUAUCCUUGCCAAACAAAAUGCUGAAACCAAAAAUCUGAAAGGGACAUGACCCUAUGCCAGCCCACACCACAGUCUUGGUCAUCACUCCUGUUUCCAUGGUGUUAACAGCAGCAGUUACUUGGUUACGGAGAGCUUUUCCUUACGCCAGCACCCUAUCCAUAUCGCUUGGACACCCUUGGCAACCACGUUCUACUCCUCGUUUCUACGAGUUUGGCUAUUUUAAUACCUCAUCUAAGUGGAAUUGUGCUGCAUUUGUCCUUCUGUGACCGGCUCACCUCACGUAGCGUGCUGUUCUCCAGGUUCAUCCAUGUUAUCCUGUUCAGCAGGAUUUCCUUCUCUUCUGAAGCUGAAUCAUAAUCCAUCGCUAACGUUAUCUUGUAACUCUUCUAUUAAACUCUCUAUCUCCUUA